RNAcentral lists this long non-coding RNA (1613 nucleotides) under Monodelphis domestica (gray short-tailed opossum). RNAcentral describes it as "lncRNA (ENSMODG00000049211.1)". The record is from RNAcentral. Lineage: Eukaryota; Metazoa; Chordata; Mammalia; Didelphimorphia; Didelphidae.
GAAGCAAAUUCAUAAUAUUUUCUCUUUCUCCAAUUCCCAACUCUGUCUUCUUCUCACCUUCCCCCUCUGGCCCCUUCCUGUCCUUUCCCCUCUCUCAGAUGACAAACAAUUUCAUACAGAUUCUAUUUACAUAAGUACCCCAAAUUAGGUACUACAAAGAGUAGUUAUAAUGAGCAGAAGGAUUAAGAGAAUUAGAAGUCCACUCUCAGUCCUUAGCAGGAGCCCGGCACUCUCCUAAGCUCUUCCCCAUCUCAUUUGAUCCUCUCAAGAAGUGAGAAACGAGUGCCGAUAGUGUCCCCCCUUACAACAUGCAGUCACAUUGUCAGUGCUUAUGGGCAGCGCUUUAAGCGUCUCCUGAGGAAUGGCAGGACACUAAAAUUCUAUUCAAUAAACAGUGUUCGACGCCGCCUGCCAUCGGCAAGCCCACAGCAUGGAGGAUGAAGAACUCGCCUUGGAGUGAGGAGGAUUCCCACCUCUGACACACGAUUCUGCAUGGACGUGGACAAGCCACUUAACCUUUCGGGAGCUCAAGUAAUACUCUAAGACUAGGAGCUGCAGAGAAGGUGCAGGUCCCACCUCGUAGGAGGCGCGACUCCCUUAGAAGCCCCCCUUCUAAUAAAGAAUCGUGCCCAUGGCAACGAAACCACAAUGGUUGUGCCACGCUAGCUAGUCAUCGUCGAGUUCCUGGGAACAACCGAUGGUCUUGAUAUGGUUCCACUUUUAUAACAGCACGAGUGUUUGCUUCUACUGAAACGAGACCGGCUAGUCUGACGUGGAACAGGAUUGAAGAGCUGCUACUGUUUUGGAGAAGGAAGAAAAAUCACGGGCAAAAUAAUGACGUAAUACCAGUCCGCAGGGUUUGGAAACUGCCGUUUUCAACAGUGAAACUUCGUUUUUUAAUGUAUGGCUUUGUUAAAAUCACUGGCGGAAGUACAGUGAAGUGGUGGAAGAGGCAGACUUUAGCCUUCAGAACUGGCACUGAAGACUCACAUCCUCCAUUGCCUGCCUCCAUUCGGUUUGGACCUAUUUGAGCUGUUUUAAUCAUGUUCCCAACUUGCCACUGAAGUGAGAUACGAUUAUUAUAGCUUUGAAACCUGAAGGCAUUGACCAAUGAAUGUCAUCCUGCUUAAAUAUAAAAGAUAUGCCGUGCCAGCUCUCAGGACUGACCAGAAACACAAUUGUAGUGAAGAGGGUCUGUCCUUUGUUAUAUGGUCUCAUGGGAGAGCAUAACUAGAAGCUCCCUCCAUAUCAGAGAGCAAUCCAGAAGUAUGUGAAAGAGAAGGUGAGAAAGAAAAAGACAGACGGAGACAGAAACAGAGACAAAGAAUCAGAGACAGAGAUAGAAAGAGACAAAGAAUCAGAGGCAGAGAGACAGAGACAAAGAAUCAGAGACAGAGAUAGAGACAAAGAAUCAGAGACAGAGAGACAGAGACAAAGAAUCAGAGACAGAGAUAGAGACAAAGAAUCAGAGGCAGAGAGACAGAGACAAAGAAUCAGAGACAGAGAGACAGAGACAAAGAAUCAGAGACAGAGAUAGAGACAAAGAAUCAGAGACAGAGAGACAGAGACAAAGAAUCAGAGACAGAGAUAGAGACAAAGAAUCAGAGACAGAG